GCCUACGGGACGCAGCAGUGGGGAAUAUUGCACAAUGGGGGAAACCCUGAUGCAGCGACGCCGCGUGAGUGAAGAAGUAUUUCGGUAUGUAAAGCUCUAUCAGCAGGGAAGAAAUACUGACCUUACGGUCAGCAGACGGUACCUGACUAAGAAGCCCCGGCUAACUACGUGCCAGCAGCCGCGGUAAUACGUAGGGGGCAAGCGUUAUCCGGAAUUACUGGGUGUGAAGGGAGCGUAGACGGUUAAGUAAGUCUGGAGUGAAAGGCCGGGGCCCAACCCCGGGACUGCUCUGGAAACUAUUGAAC
Molecule: ribosomal RNA, 305 nt
Filed under: uncultured bacterium
Lineage: Bacteria
Description: bacterial SSU rRNA
Rfam family: Bacterial small subunit ribosomal RNA
Source: RNAcentral